CUAAAGGAAUCUGUCUUUUUCUCUCCCAGUGUGUCUCAGAGAAAGGCUUUCAGGAAAGAUGUGCAUGUGUGUGCGGGCGUGUGUGUGUUUCAAAACAAUUUUGUUUUAGGGGGUGUGAGUCUAUGUGUGUGCGUAUGUCUCUUCAAAUGUGCUUGAGACAAUAUCGGCACUAUCGGAGUCACUUGCACACAGGUUGUCUCUACAAACAGCAGGUGUUAUUUCCUGGGCUGUAGGAAGCAAAAGGCAAUCCCAACAACCAGCAUAGAAAAUGUCUAGACAUCCCUAAGGUUUAAAAACAAUGUUUUUGUUUUUAAACAAUAAUAUUUUCAGGUUUGUACUUAUGUCAAUUGUAUGUUCUUUUUUUAAGUUAAAAUGUAUAAUUUUCAUAUAAAUAUAUGUUAAUAUUAUUUUAAAAACAGGAUACCCGACAUCUACCUGGAAUAAUUGAUUUGGAUCCACCAACAUGAGAUGAGAAAUCCGAGGUGCAAACCGAAACCGGUUCUUCUUUACGCAGCCCGUCACCAUCACGCUUUUUUUGACCGGACAGCCCCCCAACAACAUGAUGCAUUAUGGACUCUGAACGACUUCGGAGGAGCAGAUGAAACAGACAGUAUUCUACCGUUCUGUACGGCCGGCUUUACCCUAACUCCAAACACCCCAAGAAGCGCAGCUUUAACAAACAGAUACACACCCCCGGGAAACUCAAGCCAAUCGCUACAUAAUCUAGCAUUUACUGUGCGUCACAGUCCUUCAAGACUCCACACUACUUUGGCACAAGUGCAUCGCGCAAAUCACCCCGGCCCGAGAAGGGUCUGAGAACGCACAGAUUCAAGAACAUGCACUCUAUGGAUACGACUCCAACGAUACAAACCCUGCAGAAUCUGCAAAGCCAGAGGAAAAAGGUGGUAUACAGGAUUCCUCAGAACAGCAUGUGUCAAAAAACCCAAGGUUUAUUUAACUAGGCAAGUCAGUUAAGACCAAAUUCUUAUUUUCAAUGACGGCCUAGGAACAGUGGGUUAACUGUCCUGUUCAGGGGCAGAAUGACAGACUUGUACUU
This is a long non-coding RNA of Oncorhynchus tshawytscha (Chinook salmon), 1057 nucleotides long. RefSeq lists it as uncharacterized. The record is from RefSeq and is a predicted model, not a curated record. NCBI's taxonomy places the organism in Eukaryota, Metazoa, Chordata, Actinopteri, Salmoniformes, Salmonidae. The transcript has 3 exons.